ACUUUGUGUUUGGUCUCUUGAACUGGAGAAGAAAGGGCACACAUCUUACAAAAAAGAAGGAAGAGCACAAAAGCUCACACAUUUUGCAUGAGUCUGAGAUGGCACAGAAUGCAAUGAUGAAGAGCAUAGGCCCUGCUGUCAGAUUGAGGCCUGUCACUUGCUACCAUUAUGAUCUAAGACAUGUUACAUAAAAUCAAGGAGUUUCAACUUCUUCACCUAUGAAAUGGAUUCACACUCAUGGGAUUAGUUCGAAGAUUAUACAACGUAUCAGAAAUGUUUAGUGCAGCCUGGGACACAGACUGCUAAGCCUAAUGGAACACAGGACCUCUUUCAAAUUACAUAGCACAUAUCAAGUCAAUUUUGGGUUGUCCCAUCCAUUCAAAAGGACACUCAGGAGCUGCUCUGCAAUGAAAAAAGUGAACAAAUAACAUCUGAAACAGUUGUAAAAAUGAGCCUGUUGCUCAAGCCCAGAACAUGUCUAACUGGAACACAGAGGUAAGAGUUACACACAAACAACAACAGAUUAGCUUCUCAGUCCCCUUGGCAUCCUCUAAAUCAUCUUGCAUGACAUUCAUUAUACUUGUGUCACUUAUUCAUUCACUCAUUUAUUUAUUCAACAAAUAUUUACUAAGUCUUAAUAUGUGUCAGGCACCAUUCUCAAUGCUGAGGACAUAGCAACGAACAAAAGGGACCCAAAUCCCUGCCCCUGUGGUGUUUACAUGUGCAGGGAAGGUCAGGCAAAACAAGAAAAACAUGUCACGACAAACAAAAUAGUAGAGGACUUAUUCUAGAUUACAAGAAACUAAAGAGAUGUUACCAAGUACAAUGUGUAAACUUUGAUUCUAUCCUGGAUCAGAAAACAAACAGCUAAAUAUAUUUGAGAACAGUUGGGGAAAUUAUAAUUUGCACUGGAUGUCAGAUGAUGUUAUGGAAUUGUUUUUCUUUUCUUUUUUUUUUAGAGGUGGGGAGGGGCAGAGGGAGAUGGAGAGAGAAUCUUAAGCAGGCUCCACAUCCAGGUUGAUAUCAUGACCUGAGCCAAAAUCAAGAGUCAGACGCUUAACUGACUUGAGCCACCCAGGCGUCUCUGUCAUUCAUUUUCCUAAAUGUGAUAACAUCGGGGUUGUGCAGGAUACUAAGAGAUUGCCCUUACUCCUAGAAGUAUGUCAAGGUAAGGUGUCAGGGUUCCUGUAACUUAGUUUCAAAUGAUCAAUCUAUCAAUUAUCUAUCAUGCACAAACAACAAAAUGUUAGCAUUUGGUGAAUCCAGGUAAAGGGCAAAUGGGUGCCUUUAUAAUACUCUCAUAACUUUCUUGUAGGUUUGAAAUUUUUUAUAAUGAGGACUGGUGGGAGUAGGGGAAACCUACAGCAUUUCUAUUCAGAGAUGUGAAUCAUGAUUAACUGAUUUAUAUGCUGAGUGAAAUAAGUCAAUCGGAGAAGGACAAACAUUAUAUGGUCUCAUUCAUUUGGGGAAUAUAAAGAAUAGUGAAAGGGA
Molecule: long non-coding RNA, 1491 nt
Organism: Canis lupus familiaris (dog)
Lineage: Eukaryota; Metazoa; Chordata; Mammalia; Carnivora; Canidae
Exons: 4
Source: RefSeq, a predicted model, not a curated record